This 503-nucleotide ribosomal RNA is filed under the name uncultured bacterium. RNAcentral describes it as "partial 16S ribosomal RNA". It matches the Rfam family "Bacterial small subunit ribosomal RNA", at positions 28 to 523 of the family's 1533-position model. The record is from RNAcentral.
GAUGAACGCUGGCGGCGUGCCUAAUACAUGCAAGUCGAACGAAGAUCUAGCUUGCUAGAUCUUAGUGGCGAACGGGUGAGUAAUACAUAAAUAAUCUGCCCAUAUGACUGGGAUAACUAUUGGAAACGAUAGCUAAUACCGGAUAGGUUGAUCGGAGGCAUCUCUGAUGAAUUAAAGUAGGAUUUCUACACAAAUGGAUGAGUUUAUGGCGCAUUAGUUAGUUGGUGGGGUAACGGCCUACCAAGACGAUGAUGCGUAGCCGACCUGAGAGGGUGACCGGCCACACUGGGACUGGGACACGGCCCAGACUCCUUCGGGAGGCAGCAGUAGGGAAUUUUCGGCAAUGGGCGCAAGCCUGACCGAGCAACGCCGCGUGAGUGAUUAAGGCCUUCGGGUUGUAAAGCUCUGUUGUAAGGGAAGAACAUUCAGGAUAGGAAAUGAUCUUGAACUGACGGUACCUUACCAGAAAGCCACGGCUAACUACGUGCCAGCAGCCGCGGUAA